GGUGGGUCUGGGAGAGGUGCCCCAGGCUGGGUACGCGUUGUGCCGCCGCCGCCGGACUCUGCGGAGCCGGGGCAGCGAGGCAGGCGGGCUCGGGAAGUUGAAGAAGCUCCAACUCGGAGAGAGACGGAGGACGGACGCUGCAGCCGCCAGGAAGCUGGCCUGCCUCACAUUAUCUGAUGUGAGUGAAACCUGGCCCAAGAAGCAGAAUUCCUUUAUUGCCUUGCACAUGUAUAAGGAUGCAUUAAGAAAAGAACCAUGGAUAAAUACUGUAAACUCCAAAAGAUUGGGGAAGGAUCCUUUGGAAAAGCCAUUCUUGUUAAAUCUAGGGAAGAUUACAAACAAUAUGUUAUUAAGGAAAUUAACAUCUCA
Molecule: long non-coding RNA, 369 nt
Filed under: Vombatus ursinus (common wombat)
Lineage: Eukaryota; Metazoa; Chordata; Mammalia; Diprotodontia; Vombatidae
Description: lncRNA (ENSVURG00010008664.1)
Source: RNAcentral